Poecilia reticulata (guppy) is the source of this 433-nucleotide long non-coding RNA. RefSeq lists it as uncharacterized. The record is from RefSeq and is a predicted model, not a curated record. NCBI's taxonomy places the organism in Eukaryota, Metazoa, Chordata, Actinopteri, Cyprinodontiformes, Poeciliidae.
CCCACCUGUUGUGUUUUUCUCCAGCUGAUGUCUCCUGGGGAAGCAGAGGUUGGCCAACAGGAGAUCAGGAAUGAAAGGUUAAAGUGAAAACAACUCUUCAGUUGCCAACAGGCUAAAACAUGCAGCGCUGUGAAAGAAAAAAACAACAACAAUACCAUGGCAACCAAACGGGAAAGUAAUGUGAACAGAAGCGUUAAGCUGCACCGCAGAGGGAACUGGAAAAGAGGCUGACAAUGAAUGAGUAACUGCUGGAGAAACUUUGAUACUGGUAGCUAUUCAUCAGCAGCAUAAAUCUAGAUCCACUGUAACACCAAUCCUGGAAACUGCUGAACACGUCAACAUCCCGUCUAAAUGCUUCUCAUGUCAAGAUUAGGGAGUAAAUCAGGAACCGAGCUCUGAUUUAAGAAGCGACGGCUCUCAGGAGUUUGGAGCG